UUGCUAUUAGAGACCCCUGCAGUGGAUCUCAAUCUCCUCCUGCUUGGCACUAUGAUGCAAGGUGAGAAGAAGACUCAGAGACAGAAUUAAGUGAUGAAAAGCUUGAGGACUCCUGGUGAAGUUUGGUACUGCUGCAGUGAUUUAUGCUGAGACACCACAGUCUUACCCUCCAUUGCGGCUAUCCUCCUGAUGGCCCUGUCAGGUUGGGUCUGGCCAUGCGCUAAAUAUCUGCUUCUUGAACUGGCAACCGGUCCUUGGUCUUGGCCUUGAUCAGGCAUCCUUGACUUGCUGGGCAGUAGCGGCGACCCUUCAACACCCUAAGGCACUGCACAUCCAAUACGAGCUUCCCAGGGCCAAAGGGAUUCCUUGGGUGCCUCAAGACACCCAGAGAGUAUGGUCAUGGUGCCGCUAGGACCCCAGAGCCCAGUGCAUCGCAACGAAAGAUCUCAAAACAUGCUUUUAAAGAACUCAGAAAGUGUCUUUGGUCCACUGUGCUGUGACACUUAGAACUAAGGGAACUCCAGCUAUCCAGAGGUGCCUGUCACCCCACCUCAGCCUCAACAGAAGUGGCCCCUGGGUUGUUUCUGAAGAUUAAACAGUAUUUGAGCCUUUCGGCAAAAACUGAAGUGAGUA
Molecule: long non-coding RNA, 633 nt
Organism: Fukomys damarensis (Damara mole-rat)
Lineage: Eukaryota; Metazoa; Chordata; Mammalia; Rodentia; Bathyergidae
Exons: 3
Source: RefSeq, a predicted model, not a curated record